AGAGUGAACGCUGGCGGCAGGCCUAACACAUGCAAGUCGAACGGCAGCACAGGGGAGCUUGCUCCCUGGGUGGCGAGUGGCGGACGGGUGAGGAAUACAUCGGAAUCUACCCAGUCGUGGGGGAUAACCUCGGGAAACCGGGACUAAUACCGCAUACGACCCACGGGUGAAAGCGGAGGACCGCAAGGCUUCGCGCGAUUGGAUGAGCCGAUGUCGGAUUAGCUUGUUGGCGGGGUAAUGGCCCACCAAGGCGACGAUCCGUAGCUGGUCUGAGAGGAUGAUCAGCCACACUGGAACUGAGACACGGUCCAGACUCCUACGGGAGGCAGCAGUGGGGAAUAUUGGACAAUGGGCGCAAGCCUGAUCCAGCCAUGCCGCGUGAGUGAAGAAGGCCCUCGGGUUGUAAAGCUCUUUUGUUGGGAAGAAAAGCAAUCGGUUAAUACCCGGUUGUACUGACGGUACCCAAAGAAUAAGCACCGGCUAACUUCGUGCCAGCAGCCG
Molecule: ribosomal RNA, 501 nt
Filed under: uncultured soil bacterium
Lineage: Bacteria
Description: bacterial SSU rRNA
Rfam family: Bacterial small subunit ribosomal RNA
Source: RNAcentral